Molecule: long non-coding RNA, 1776 nt
Organism: Oncorhynchus keta (chum salmon)
Lineage: Eukaryota; Metazoa; Chordata; Actinopteri; Salmoniformes; Salmonidae
Exons: 3
Source: RefSeq, a predicted model, not a curated record
GGAAGAGGCUGGUCCUACAGGUGAUCCCCAUUCUGAGGAAGAGGCUGGUCCUACAGGUGAUCCCCAUUCUGAGGAAGAGGCUGGUCCUACAGGUGAUGCCCAUUCUGAGGAAGAGGCUAGUCCUACAGGUGAUGCCCAUUCUGAGGAAGAGGCUGGUCCUACAGGUGAUGCCCAUUCUGAGGAAGAGGCUGGUCCUACAGGUGAUGCCCAUUCUGAGGAAGAGGCUGGUCCAGGUUUCCAUCAUCAUCCUCAGGCUCCACAAAGUCCUAGUUGCUGAGGCAGACGUGCAGCAUUCAACCACCUCAGACACAAAGCCAGGCUUCACCUCCAGGCCUUCAUGAUGGAGCUUCACAGGGUCUUCAUUAUCCUGAAGGACCACUCCACCACAUUCCUCGCCUUGCAUUGUAGGUGGCCUCCACUACACCCAUCACUGGCUGCCUGUAGGGUCAUUAUACAGAUGGGCUCGGCCAGGCAGAGUAAAGGACUGUUACAGGACCCUGGCGUCGUGCACAGACCCGGGGAAGGCAAUGUAGAUGAACCUGCACCUGUGGUCACAGAUGGCCUGUAGCUGAUAUGAAUAAAACUCUUCAUGAUCCCACCACUGACCCUGUGGAUGACAUGGGGCACUGUGGUCCGGUGGACAUCAAAUGCCUCGGACACAACACGAUACGAAGUGUCACUGGCCAGCCAAUAGAGAAACAGGAGGCUUCCAAGGUCUGGACCCAGCCAUGGUCCUGGUCUUCAUGCUGCAAGGCCUCUACCAGCCUGUCAAAAGAGGGUCAUUCAGAAGUGGGGCUUGAGGUCAAGGUCGUCUAGGAUGGGUACAUUGGGAUUUAGCAGUAGGGUCCUCUGCCACCAGUUUGUGAUGAGAAAAGGCAACUUUACCAAAUUGAAACAAAAUAAAAAGCUUUCGCAUGAUUUGGUAUGUAGGCCUAUUCUGCCAUGUGUGUAUAUUAUUGAGUGUAGCCUAUAGGCUACACUAAACGACAUGUUCUAAUAUUAUAUUCCAAGUGCAUGUAUCAAAUUAACAAUGAACUUGGCUACAUACAGACCAGUCCAGUGUAAUAAUUGACUUAGAAUGUGGCCUACCUACAUUUGCAUUUUGGUCAAGGAGAAUACAGCGCCUCAACAGCGCCCUCCUUUGACCAGAUUCCUGUCGUCUCUUCCUCCUUCCAGCCUCGGUCUUCUGAACAGCCAACGGCAGUUCAUCAUUAUAGCCAGGACAACAAAUACAGCUGCUAAAUAUAUGUCUAACAACGACAGAUGGACAGCAAGGACUAUGAGAUGUGGUGAGCUGCCGCUGCAGGUAAAGUGUGUGGUAUGUCUGUCUCAAGUCUCAUACAGUGAACGGUGUGCCGAGUGGAGUCACAGAGGGUUUAACAUACUAUAACAAUGGACACAUCCAAUACAGAUGGAGGAAAACAGUCACAGAGGGUUUAACAUACUAUAACAAUGGACACAUCCAAUACAGAUGGAGGAAAACAGACAGAGGGUUUAACAUACUAUAACAAUGGACACAUCCAAUACAGAUGGAGGAAAACAGACACAGAGGGUUUAACAUACUAUAACAAUGGACACAUCCAAUACAGAUGGAGGAAAACAGACAGAGGGUUUAACAUACUAUAACAAUGGACACAUCCAAUACAGAUGGAGGAAAACAGACACAGAGGGUUUAACAUACUAUAACAAUGGACACAUCCAAUACAGAUGGAGGAAAACAGACACAGAGGGUUUAACAUACUAUAACAAUGGACACAUCCAAUACAGAUGGAGGAA